Molecule: long non-coding RNA, 649 nt
Filed under: Zostera marina
Lineage: Eukaryota; Viridiplantae; Streptophyta; Magnoliopsida; Alismatales; Zosteraceae
Description: long non-coding RNA (ZMAR_LNC004847)
Source: RNAcentral
CCUGACAAAUGAUAAUCCCUGUGUGCCAAACCAACAUCGAUCUUUGUUUUUUUUGUUUGUUAUUAUUCGAACGUGCGUGCAUAUCACAGUGUUUCCGGUGAGUCUCCGAUCGGCGUUGUCCGGUAGCGGUUAAUUGAGUGAAAGGAAUGGUGAGAAAAAGGCGAGUGUUGGGUUGGUAGAGGGCACACAGUGAGGUCCUGUCAUGUUAUUUAACAUAACUCCAAUUUUUCAAAGUUUGAACCUUUAUUAAUUUUGGAGGCAUGGGGACGGACUAUCAUGGGAACCCUGAUUCAUUCUAUCUAUUAUCUAGACCCAAAAGAAAAGGGAACCUUCUGGGUAAGUCAGAAAUGAAAAUGUAUUGAAAAUAUGAUAAUAUGAUAUCAAUAAUACUUACUGUUUAGGGUUUAGGAUUUAGGGUUUUCAAUAGUGACUGAUGGCCCCAAUCCAUCCAUAAGCUGAUAACCCUCAGGUUAAUUAAUAUAAUAGUACCGGCGUUUUGUCUGAUGGGUUUUUCACAUGUUCAUCCAUUUUUGCUUCUUUUUUCAUCUGAACAGGUUUAAAACAUGGUCAGUGAAUUAUAGCAUCGGAAGUAAAGUAGUCAUUUCUGAGUUCAUCCGAUCGAUGAGUCCUACCAUGAAGCAAAAACAUG